CAACUCAUCUCCCGCACCUCUGCAACAACCACCACCACCUCCGCCAUGACCAACACCGCCACCACCUCCGCCACCAUCUUCAAUUCGAACAUGUUUGUAAUAACCUAAUUUCAUUUGAGAAAGAGAGUUUUAAGAGGAAUAAUUGAGAGAGGUAUAAAUUCUGGCUGGAAAUCAGUGGAAGAAUCAGCUGAGAUCGAGAUAAAAGCAUUAUCAUCAACAGUUAACCAUUAAGAUUUAGGAGAGAUCUCAUCUUAGGAUUCAAUUUCUGUUGCAUGUGCUAGAGGUACUAAUAUUGUUGAUUGGUGAAAUAUAUUUGGAGUCGGGUGCAGUGUUGCUAGUGACAAAGUUGGAGGUGGUGCUGGUGGAAGUGGAGGAUUAGGUUUGGAGAAGGAGAUGCUUUUGUAUUGGUUAUGGAAUUGGUGGAUGUGGAAUCAAAUAUUAAUUUGAUCUUAUGACUAUUGAAUCCUAGUGGUAAGGAUGCAGAUAUUAAACUUGAUGGAGGAACAUAACAGCCAAAUAUUGAGCUUGAUCCGGAUGUUCAGAGGCUUGUAACCUAGGUGCUUUCUGAAGGUACCGUUCCUUCUUGGAUCUUUAUAAAGGUACAUAAGGUUACUUUAUAAUUGUAACACCUAGAAAGCUUAAUCUCAUAUUAACAAAGUAGCUUUCAUGUAUAUGCACAUGUAGACGAUAAUUGAAUUUUUAUGUAAUCCAAACAAGGAAAUCUAGAGUUCCCAACCAAGUACUCUUGAUUUCUGAAGCAUUGGAAUGAGAUGAUUGUUGAUUUUUAAAGCCUCUUGGGGUAUGUAAUUAGGAUUCAUGAUUAGUUUAUUAGACUAGUUUUCUUUGUUUUGCUAUCCAA
Long non-coding RNA from Papaver somniferum (opium poppy), 859 nucleotides. RefSeq lists it as uncharacterized. The record is from RefSeq and is a predicted model, not a curated record. The transcript is spliced from 3 exons. NCBI's taxonomy places the organism in Eukaryota, Viridiplantae, Streptophyta, Magnoliopsida, Ranunculales, Papaveraceae.